UGUGGGAGCAAAUAUAAUCUAAGGAGGUUGUAAUAUUGUAGCACUGGGUAUGUGGCACUGCUCUGGGCUAGGUGUGACGGAGGUGGCACUGCUCUGGGCUAGGUGUGACGGCAGUGGCAGUGCUCUGGGCGAGGUGUGACGGCGGUAGCAGUGCUCUGGGCUAGGUGUGACGGCAGUGGCAGUGCUCUGGGCUAGGUGUGAUGGCGGUGGCAGUGCUCUGGGCUAGGUGUGACGACGGUGACACUGCUCUGGGCUAGGUGUGAUGGCGGUGGCAGUGCUCUGGGCUAGGUGUGACGGCGGUGGCACUGCUCUGGGCUAGGUGUGACGGCGGUGGCAGUGCUCUGGGCUAGGUGUGACGGCGGUGGCAGUGCUCUGGGCUAGGUGUGACGGCAGUGGCAGUGCUCUGGGCUAGGUGUGACGGCGGUGGCAGUGCUCUGGGCUAGGUGUGACGGCGGUGGCAGUGCUCUGGGCUAGGUGUGACGGCGGUGGCAGUGCUCUGGGCUAGGUGUGACGGCGGUGGCAGUGCUCUGGGCUAGGUGUGACGGCGGUGGCAGUGCUCUGGGCUAGGUGUGACGGCGGUGGCAGUGCUCUGGGCUAGGUGUGACGGCGGUGGCACUGCUCUGGGCUAGGUGUGACGGCGGUGGUUCGGGCUAACCAGGGUUGGAGUCAAUUUGGUCAACUCAGGGAGUAAAAAUGCUAUUUCAGUUUAUUUCCUGAAUUGACUUGGAAUUUACCCCAACCCUGGAGCUAACAGUCUUGUGGCACGCAGGUUCGAGGACUUGGGUUCGAAUCCUUGCUUGGCCCCAUAUAAAAUGCAUUGAAUUGAGUAAUUUGGUCCU
Molecule: long non-coding RNA, 839 nt
Organism: Oncorhynchus keta (chum salmon)
Lineage: Eukaryota; Metazoa; Chordata; Actinopteri; Salmoniformes; Salmonidae
Exons: 3
Source: RefSeq, a predicted model, not a curated record